CCUACGGGAGACAGCAGUGAGGAAUAUUGGUCAAUGGGCGCGAGCCUGAACCAGCCAAGUAGCGUGAAGGAUGACUGCCCUACGGGUCGUAAACUUCUUUUAUAAAGGAAUAAAGUGAGGCACGUGUGCCUUUUUGUAUGUACUUUAUGAAUAAGGAUCGGCUAACUCCGUGCCAGCAGCCGCGGUAAUACGGAGGAUCCGAGCGUUAUCCGGAUUUAUUGGGUUUAAAGGGAGCGUAGAUGGGUUGUUAAGUCAGUUGUGAAAGUUUGCGGCUCAACCGUAAAAUUGCAAUUGAUACUGGCAGUCUUGAGUACAGGUGAGGUAGGCGGAAUUCGUGGUGUAGCGGUGAAAUGCUUAGAUAUCACGAAGAACUCCGAUUGCGAAGGCAGCUUACUAAACUGCCACUGACAUUGAUGCUCGAAAGUGUGGGUAUCAAACAGGAUUAGAUACCCUGGUAGUC
This 460-nucleotide ribosomal RNA is filed under the name uncultured bacterium. Its description in RNAcentral is "partial 16S ribosomal RNA". It matches the Rfam family "Bacterial small subunit ribosomal RNA", at positions 338 to 795 of the family's 1533-position model. The record is from RNAcentral.